Molecule: ribosomal RNA, 2904 nt
Filed under: Escherichia coli
Lineage: Bacteria; Pseudomonadati; Pseudomonadota; Gammaproteobacteria; Enterobacterales; Enterobacteriaceae
Description: 23S ribosomal RNA
Rfam family: Bacterial large subunit ribosomal RNA
Source: RNAcentral
GGUUAAGCGACUAAGCGUACACGGUGGAUGCCCUGGCAGUCAGAGGCGAUGAAGGACGUGCUAAUCUGCGAUAAGCGUCGGUAAGGUGAUAUGAACCGUUAUAACCGGCGAUUUCCGAAUGGGGAAACCCAGUGUGAUUCGUCACACUAUCAUUAACUGAAUCCAUAGGUUAAUGAGGCGAACCGGGGGAACUGAAACAUCUAAGUACCCCGAGGAAAAGAAAUCAACCGAGAUUCCCCCAGUAGCGGCGAGCGAACGGGGAGGAGCCCAGAGCCUGAAUCAGUGUGUGUGUUAGUGGAAGCGUCUGGAAAGGCGCGCGAUACAGGGUGACAGCCCCGUACACAAAAAUGCACAUGCUGUGAGCUCGAUGAGUAGGGCGGGACACGUGGUAUCCUGUCUGAAUAUGGGGGGACCAUCCUCCAAGGCUAAAUACUCCUGACUGACCGAUAGUGAACCAGUACCGUGAGGGAAAGGCGAAAAGAACCCCGGCGAGGGGAGUGAAAAAGAACCUGAAACCGUGUACGUACAAGCAGUGGGAGCACGCUUAGGCGUGUGACUGCGUACCUUUUGUAUAAUGGGUCAGCGACUUAUAUUCUGUAGCAAGGUUAACCGAAUAGGGGAGCCGAAGGGAAACCGAGUCUUAACUGGGCGUUAAGUUGCAGGGUAUAGACCCGAAACCCGGUGAUCUAGCCAUGGGCAGGUUGAAGGUUGGGUAACACUAACUGGAGGACCGAACCGACUAAUGUUGAAAAAUUAGCGGAUGACUUGUGGCUGGGGGUGAAAGGCCAAUCAAACCGGGAGAUAGCUGGUUCUCCCCGAAAGCUAUUUAGGUAGCGCCUCGUGAAUUCAUCUCCGGGGGUAGAGCACUGUUUCGGCAAGGGGGUCAUCCCGACUUACCAACCCGAUGCAAACUGCGAAUACCGGAGAAUGUUAUCACGGGAGACACACGGCGGGUGCUAACGUCCGUCGUGAAGAGGGAAACAACCCAGACCGCCAGCUAAGGUCCCAAAGUCAUGGUUAAGUGGGAAACGAUGUGGGAAGGCCCAGACAGCCAGGAUGUUGGCUUAGAAGCAGCCAUCAUUUAAAGAAAGCGUAAUAGCUCACUGGUCGAGUCGGCCUGCGCGGAAGAUGUAACGGGGCUAAACCAUGCACCGAAGCUGCGGCAGCGACGCUUAUGCGUUGUUGGGUAGGGGAGCGUUCUGUAAGCCUGCGAAGGUGUGCUGUGAGGCAUGCUGGAGGUAUCAGAAGUGCGAAUGCUGACAUAAGUAACGAUAAAGCGGGUGAAAAGCCCGCUCGCCGGAAGACCAAGGGUUCCUGUCCAACGUUAAUCGGGGCAGGGUGAGUCGACCCCUAAGGCGAGGCCGAAAGGCGUAGUCGAUGGGAAACAGGUUAAUAUUCCUGUACUUGGUGUUACUGCGAAGGGGGGACGGAGAAGGCUAUGUUGGCCGGGCGACGGUUGUCCCGGUUUAAGCGUGUAGGCUGGUUUUCCAGGCAAAUCCGGAAAAUCAAGGCUGAGGCGUGAUGACGAGGCACUACGGUGCUGAAGCAACAAAUGCCCUGCUUCCAGGAAAAGCCUCUAAGCAUCAGGUAACAUCAAAUCGUACCCCAAACCGACACAGGUGGUCAGGUAGAGAAUACCAAGGCGCUUGAGAGAACUCGGGUGAAGGAACUAGGCAAAAUGGUGCCGUAACUUCGGGAGAAGGCACGCUGAUAUGUAGGUGAAGUCCCUCGCGGAUGGAGCUGAAAUCAGUCGAAGAUACCAGCUGGCUGCAACUGUUUAUUAAAAACACAGCACUGUGCAAACACGAAAGUGGACGUAUACGGUGUGACGCCUGCCCGGUGCCGGAAGGUUAAUUGAUGGGGUUAGCGCAAGCGAAGCUCUUGAUCGAAGCCCCGGUAAACGGCGGCCGUAACUAUAACGGUCCUAAGGUAGCGAAAUUCCUUGUCGGGUAAGUUCCGACCUGCACGAAUGGCGUAAUGAUGGCCAGGCUGUCUCCACCCGAGACUCAGUGAAAUUGAACUCGCUGUGAAGAUGCAGUGUACCCGCGGCAAGACGGAAAGACCCCGUGAACCUUUACUAUAGCUUGACACUGAACAUUGAGCCUUGAUGUGUAGGAUAGGUGGGAGGCUUUGAAGUGUGGACGCCAGUCUGCAUGGAGCCGACCUUGAAAUACCACCCUUUAAUGUUUGAUGUUCUAACGUUGACCCGUAAUCCGGGUUGCGGACAGUGUCUGGUGGGUAGUUUGACUGGGGCGGUCUCCUCCUAAAGAGUAACGGAGGAGCACGAAGGUUGGCUAAUCCUGGUCGGACAUCAGGAGGUUAGUGCAAUGGCAUAAGCCAGCUUGACUGCGAGCGUGACGGCGCGAGCAGGUGCGAAAGCAGGUCAUAGUGAUCCGGUGGUUCUGAAUGGAAGGGCCAUCGCUCAACGGAUAAAAGGUACUCCGGGGAUAACAGGCUGAUACCGCCCAAGAGUUCAUAUCGACGGCGGUGUUUGGCACCUCGAUGUCGGCUCAUCACAUCCUGGGGCUGAAGUAGGUCCCAAGGGUAUGGCUGUUCGCCAUUUAAAGUGGUACGCGAGCUGGGUUUAGAACGUCGUGAGACAGUUCGGUCCCUAUCUGCCGUGGGCGCUGGAGAACUGAGGGGGGCUGCUCCUAGUACGAGAGGACCGGAGUGGACGCAUCACUGGUGUUCGGGUUGUCAUGCCAAUGGCACUGCCCGGUAGCUAAAUGCGGAAGAGAUAAGUGCUGAAAGCAUCUAAGCACGAAACUUGCCCCGAGAUGAGUUCUCCCUGACUCCUUGAGAGUCCUGAAGGAACGUUGAAGACGACGACGUUGAUAGGCCGGGUGUGUAAGCGCAGCGAUGCGUUGAGCUAACCGGUACUAAUGAACCGUGAGGCUUAACCUU